Molecule: ribosomal RNA, 301 nt
Filed under: uncultured bacterium
Lineage: Bacteria
Description: partial 16S ribosomal RNA
Rfam family: Bacterial small subunit ribosomal RNA
Source: RNAcentral
CAGCCGCCGCGGUAAAACGUAGGGUGCAAGCGUUAAUCGGAAUUACUGGGCGUAAAGCGUGCGCAGGCGGUUAUAUAAGACAGAUGUGAAAUCCCCGGGCUCAACCUGGGAACUGCAUUUGUGACUGUAUAGCUAGAGUACGGCAGAGGGGGAUGGAAUUCCGCGUGUAGCAGUGAAAUGCGUAGAUAUGCGGAGGAACACCGAUGGCGAAGGCAAUCCCCUGGGCCUGUACUGACGCUCAUGCACGAAAGCGUGGGGAGCAAACAGGAUUAGAUACCCGAGUAGUCCCUGUCUCUUAUAC